UCCUGAGAGUAUGGAAACAAAGCGGCAUAUAAUGCAAAAGAGUCACUCACCACGAGUGCAUCGCGCGAGAUUUUUAACUGCAGCAGUUUCGGGACUUUGGAUGAUGUUUUUGGCGAAGGGAAAAUGCAGAAAACCGCACAUGAUAUACGAACAAACUCCCCCCACCGCAGGGCGAGUACCCCAGGACUUGGAUCGGAUGGGAAGGAAAUGUGAGUAAUGUGCAGCUGGAAGAAAGACACAUCUCCCCCGAGAUAGGAGGAAGAGCACCGCAGCAAAAAUACUACUGCAAGCCCCAUUGGAUCUUUACUGUGGUUUUACGGACGCCUUUGCAUGAACAUUUUUUUCCUUCGUCGAAUAAAAAAACAACAUUGUUUAGUGUCCCCGCGGGAUGAUGGAAAUGAGAAA
Aedes aegypti (yellow fever mosquito) is the source of this 405-nucleotide long non-coding RNA. RefSeq lists it as uncharacterized. The record is from RefSeq and is a predicted model, not a curated record. The transcript has 2 exons. Lineage: Eukaryota; Metazoa; Arthropoda; Insecta; Diptera; Culicidae.